This 480-nucleotide ribosomal RNA is filed under the name uncultured bacterium. Its description in RNAcentral is "partial 16S ribosomal RNA". It matches the Rfam family "Bacterial small subunit ribosomal RNA", at positions 30 to 507 of the family's 1533-position model. The record is from RNAcentral.
UGAACGCUGGCGGCAUGCCUUACACAUGCAAGUCGAACGGUAACAGGUCUUCGGAUGCUGACGAGUGGCGCACGGGUGAGUAAUACAUCGGCACGUGCCCGAUCGUGGGGGAUAACGAAGCGAAAGCUUUGCUAAUACCGCAUACGAUCUACGGAUGAAAGCGGGGGAUCUUCGGACCUCGCGCGGACGGAGCGGCCGAUGGCAGAUUAGGUAGUUGGUGGGAUAAAAGCUUACCAAGCCGACGAUCUGUAGCUGGUCUGAGAGGAUGAUCAGCCACACUGGGACUGAGACACGGCCCAGACUCCUACGGGAGGCAGCAGUGGGGAAUUUUGGACAAUGGGCGCAAGCCUGAUCCAGCCAUGCCGCGUGCAGGAUGAAGGCCUUCGGGUUGUAAACUGCUUUUGUACGGAACGAAAAGGUGCCUUCUAAUAAAGGGCGCUCAUGACGGUACCGUAAGAAUAAGCACCGGCUAACUACGUG